GACCUAAUGGUGCAACGGUUAGCACAUCUGCUCGAAAUAGUCGAUCGGAGGAUGUAUUUAGGCAGAAGAUCCUCGUUCGAUUCGGGGUGGGUCA
Non-coding RNA from Mycena crocata, 94 nucleotides. NCBI's taxonomy places the organism in Eukaryota, Fungi, Basidiomycota, Agaricomycetes, Agaricales, Mycenaceae. The record is from the annotation of a GenBank genome assembly.